This 463-nucleotide ribosomal RNA is filed under the name uncultured bacterium. Its description in RNAcentral is "partial 16S ribosomal RNA". It matches the Rfam family "Bacterial small subunit ribosomal RNA", at positions 28 to 506 of the family's 1533-position model. The record is from RNAcentral.
GACGAACGCUGGCGGCGUGCUUAACACAUGCAAGUCGAACGAUGAAGCCAGCUUGCUGGUGGAUUAGUGGCGAACGGGUGAGUAACACGUGGGUGAUCUGCCCCAAACUUUGGGAUAAGCCUGGGAAACUGGGUCUAAUACCGAAUAUGACCGAUACUCGCAUGGGUGUUGGUGGAAAGCUCCGGCGGUUUGGGAUGGGCCCGCGGCCUAUCAGCUUGUUGGUGGGGUAAUGGCCUACCAAGGCGACGACGGGUAGCCGGCCUGAGAGGGCGACCGGCCACACUGGGACUGAGACACGGCCCAGACUCCUACGGGAGGCAGCAGUGGGGAAUAUUGCACAAUGGGCGCAAGCCUGAUGCAGCGACGCCGCGUGAGGGAUGACGGCCUUCGGGUUGUAAACCUCUUUCACCAGGGACGAAGCGAAAGUGACGGUACCUGGAGAAGAAGCACCGGCAAACUACGU